GACGAACGCUGGUGGCGUGCCUAAUACAUGCAAGUUGAGCGCUGAAGGUUGGUACUUGUACCAACUGGAUGAGCAGCGAACGGGUGAGUAACGCGUGGGGAAUCUGCCUUUGAGCGGGGGACAACAUUUGGAAACGAAUGCUAAUACCGCAUAAAAACUUUAAACACAAGUUUUAAGUUUGAAAGAUGCAAUUGCAUCACUCAAAGAUGAUCCCGCGUUGUAUUAGCUAGUUGGUGAGGUAAAGGCUCACCAAGGCGAUGAUACAUAGCCGACCUGAGAGGGUGAUCGGCCACAUUGGGACUGAGACACGGCCCAAACUCCUACGGGAGGCAGCAGUAGGGAAUCUUCGGCAAUGGACGAAAGUCUGACCGAGCAACGCCGCGUGAGUGAAGAAGGUUUUCGGAUCGUAAAACUCUGUUGGUAGAGAAGAACGUUGGUGAGAGUGGAAAGCUCAUCAAGUGACGGUAACUACCCAGAAAGGGACGGCUAACUACGUG
Molecule: ribosomal RNA, 497 nt
Filed under: uncultured bacterium
Lineage: Bacteria
Description: partial 16S ribosomal RNA
Rfam family: Bacterial small subunit ribosomal RNA
Source: RNAcentral